CCAGACUCUCUCACUUAAUUUUCCAUUGAUUUUUAAAAGUUGGGUCUAAUUUUUUUUAUUUUAUUUUGAAUUAAUUUCCUAAUUUUUUUUUUGGUUAAUUUUACUAUUUUGAAAGUUUUUACACAAAAAAAAUUAAUAUAUAAGAUUAUUUAUUUAGAAUUUGUGAUUUCUUCUCCAACAGUAUCUUUUUCCAGGAUUUAACUUGCGGUGUUGGUUUAUGAUUUGUAAAUGAAUGCAAGCCUCUAAGGAGGAGACUGCAAACUUGAUCAACCUCUUCUCCCACUUUGAACUAUUCCAAGGAAAGCUUAAAUCGAUAUUCUGGGAAAUGGGGUCUUCAGAUAAACAACAUCUUCAGCCUCAGGAGUCCUUUGGAUGGGCAGCUAGAGACUCAUCUGGAGUUCUCUCUCCUUUCAAAUUCUCAAGAAGGGCAACAGGAGACAAAGAUGUAAAGAUUAAAGUUCUGUACUGCGGCAUCUGCCAUAGUGACCUGCAUGGUAUCAAGAACGAUUGGGGAAUAUCCAUCUACCCUCUCUUGCCUGGUCAUGAGAUUGUGGGCAUAGCAACAGAGGUGGGAUCCAAUGUCGAGAAAUUCAAAGUAGGAGAUAAAGUAGGGGUGGGGUGCAUGGUUGGAUCUUGCGGCUCUUGCAAUGACUGCACAAACAAUCUUGAGAAUUACUGCCCAAAAAUCAUAGCAACUUACAAUGGUAUAGACGACGAUGGAGCCAUUACUUACGGAGGAUACUCAGACUUUAUCAUCGUCGACCAACACUUUGUCAUCAGAUACCCUGAAAGCUUGCCUCUUGAUGCUGGUGCACCCCUUCUGUGUGCUGGUAUUACAGUUUAUAGCCCCUUAAAAUACUACGGCCUUGAUAAACCUGGUAUGAAGUUAGGUGUGGUUGGACUUGGUGGCCUCGGCCAUAUGGCAGUCAAAUUUGCUAAAGCUAUGGGGCUCAAAGUGACUGUGAUUAGUACAUCACCAAAUAAAAAGGAGGAGGCUACUCAACAUCUUGGUGCUGACUCGUUUUUGCUUAGCAAUGAUAAGAAUGAAAUGAAGGCUGCAAUGGGCACAUUGGAUGGUGUUAUUGACACAGUCUCAGUAUUUCAUGCUGUGUUGCCUAUAAUUGGUUUAUUGAAAUCCCAUGGGAAACUUGUUCUUUUGGGCUUGCCUGACAAGCCUCUCGAGCUGCCAGUUUUCCCUUUGCUCCUAGGGAGGAAGACGGUGGCUGGUAGUGUUAUAGGAGGAAUAAAGGAGACGCAAGAGAUGAUUGAUUUAGCUGCAAAGCACAACAUAACUGCAGAUGUAGAAGUUAUCUCAAUUGACUAUGUGAACAAAGCAAUGGAGCGACUUGCCCGUGCCGAUGUUAAAUAUCGAUUUGUCAUUGAUAUUGCAAACACCUUAGCUGCUGGUGUUUGAUCUUUAUUAGAAUUAAUAAUUUUUUUUUUCCUAAUCUCUGAGGAUGAAUUGAUGGAUCAAACUUAAAAUCACUGUUUGCAUUUUGAGAAAAUAUAUUGAAAUAAAGUCCACUUUUUAUUUUGUCCAUCCAUUUUACAUCUCCUAUCCUUUAGUAAUUCCAUUCAUGGGGUUUGCAUCCAAGCUCGCGACACCACAUCAAAGUGACCCCAGCCUCGCCAGUACUAUCAACAUCGCGACGUUGAGGCAGUUCCGGCGGUGGCAUCUUUCCCUCAUGUUUAGGCGGUUCUGGGGUUUGCUGGUGUACAAGCCUUAAGCCUGCCUUUUGGGCUCCUGUUAAUCGGCCCUUCAGUCCCUUUUAUGUUUCAAUCAGCCUAUUUCUGUAUUGGGUAUGGGCCUGGCGUACUGUGUUCGACUUUUAAACCCAUCAAUAAAAUAU
This 1850-nucleotide unclassified non-coding RNA is filed under the name Hevea brasiliensis (rubber tree). Lineage: Eukaryota; Viridiplantae; Streptophyta; Magnoliopsida; Malpighiales; Euphorbiaceae. The record is from RNAcentral.